RNAcentral lists this long non-coding RNA (861 nucleotides) under Solanum tuberosum (potato). RNAcentral's name for it is "long non-coding RNA (STUB_LNC008604)". The record is from RNAcentral. Lineage: Eukaryota; Viridiplantae; Streptophyta; Magnoliopsida; Solanales; Solanaceae.
CCCCUACCGUCUAAUUUUUGGAACGUGUAUACCCUUUGGACUAACAGAGGGACACGUGUGACGAACUUAACAACCUAUCCAAAAUUUAUUUAAUUUUUAUAUCCAAUUAAAAAAUUGACCCGAAUAAUAAAAAACCCACCCAAAUAAUUUUUGACCCGCAUCGAAAUAAAUCUAAUUUUUCCUUUCUUCUCUAGUCCAAGAACCAGUCACACAAAGAACUGCAACAAUCUAUCUUCUCUGGCGAAGCUCCAGAUACGAAACCAUCUCUAACUGCUAUCGAACCUAACCUCCCUCGCUCCAGUGAAAUCAGCGGGGUAGUGACCCUUAAUCCACCAUGAAACCUGACCACCACUCACCCAUCUCUCCCUCACCGUUGCUCCAACAGCUCCGGCGAACCAAACCAGCGACCAUGGAAUGGAUUUAUAGUCGCAAAACUCAAUAACUUGUUUACAUAGCUGAAACUUUGAAAAAUGAAGAUUGUAGGGCUGAAAGCCAAGAAAAGAGAUCCGUGAAAAUCCAAAAAUCAACAAUACAUUCAAUAAUCACACUACAAUGAGAAAUAUAAAAUAAAAUUAGUCAUAAAUCAGACAAGAAAAAUAUGGAAGUAUAGGGAACAAACAUACCUCUAGCUCUCUUUACAGAGCUUCAACAAUGGAGGUCAAGAAGAUACUCCGUAACCCAUAGCUAAUCUGUGGCGUGGGAAUGUUCUUGGAUUCCAAAAUGUACCACAAAAAAAAGAAUUUAUGGGUAAGCAAGAAGAAAAAACAAAUGAAAAAUUGCCUCUAACACCAGAAAAACCAAACUCAAUUUCAUCAAACUGAAAACCACCCAAAGUGCUGUAUAGAUGAGUUUCCAACUCUG